CACGCCCUCCCAUCUCUCCCUCCUUCCUGCCGUCCCCCGCCUGAGGGAGGGGAGCGGUGCAGCAGACAUCCGAGGGCAGCUGGGACCCCCUGACUCAGCCGACGGGUGAGUCAGGCUCCCUGCAGGCCACACCGGACCCCCCCAGGGCGGGGAUUUCCCCAAGAUGAGAAAUCAGCCACCGGAAGUCACGCCGGACCUUGGACGGGCAGACAGAGGCUGGGAGGAGUUCUGGGUGCAGAGCCCCCCAACCUGGCACGGUGGCUCACACCUAUAAUCUCACCACUUUGGGAGGCCGAAGUGGGAAGAUUGCUUGAGCCCAGAAGUUGGAGACCAGCCUGGGCAACACAGCAAGACCCCUGUCUCUACCGAAAAUGAAAAAAAUUAGCUGGGCAUGGCAGUGUGCACUUGGGAGCUACUCAGGAGGCUGAAGCGGGAGGAUCACUUGAGCUCAGGAGUUCAAGGCUGCAUUGAGCUAUGAUGGCACCACUGCAGUCCAGCCUAGGAGACAGAGCUAGACCCUGUCUCUAAAAAUAAAUAAAUAAAUAAUCUCGGCAUUUCUCAUCCUAAUUG
This 570-nucleotide long non-coding RNA is filed under the name Homo sapiens (human). RNAcentral describes it as "HSALNT0001497". The record is from RNAcentral. Lineage: Eukaryota; Metazoa; Chordata; Mammalia; Primates; Hominidae.